GGUGGAUUUUUAGCCCUGGUGGGUAGCUUCCCGGAAACGAAAGUCUUCCGGUUCCGGGGGAAGUAUGGUUGCAAAGCUGAAACUUAAAGGAAUUGACGGAAGGGCACCACCAGGAGUGGAGCCUGCGGCUUAAUUUGACUCAACACGGGGAAACUCACCCGGCCCGGACACCGUAAGGAUUGACAGAUUGAUAGCUCUUUCAUGAUUCGGUGGUUGGUGGUGCAUGGCCGUUCUUAGUUCGUGGAUCGAUUUGUCUGGUUUAUUCCGAUAACGAGCGAGACUCUAGCCUACUAAAUAGUAACGAGAUUAUCAAUGUCUCAGUUGCUUCUUAGAGGGAUUUUCGGUGUUUAGCCGCACGAGAUUGAGCAAUAACAGGUCUGUGAUGCCCUUAGAUGUCCGGGGCUGCACGCGCGCUACACUGGCGAAAUCAGCGUGCUGUAUCCAUUCUCGAAAGGGAUUGGUAAACCCAUGAAAAUUUGCCGUGCUUGGGAUCGGAAAUUGCAAUUAUUUUCCGUGAAC
This 519-nucleotide ribosomal RNA is filed under the name Acrobeloides sp. MHb55. RNAcentral describes it as "SSU rRNA". It matches the Rfam family "Eukaryotic small subunit ribosomal RNA", at positions 1059 to 1604 of the family's 1831-position model. The record is from RNAcentral. Lineage: Eukaryota; Metazoa; Nematoda; Chromadorea; Rhabditida; Cephalobidae.